RNAcentral lists this transfer RNA (62 nucleotides) under Candidatus Altarchaeales archaeon ex4484_43. RNAcentral describes it as "Candidatus Altiarchaeales archaeon ex4484_43 tRNA-Glu". It matches the Rfam family "tRNA", at positions 7 to 64 of the family's 71-position model. Rfam says of the family: Transfer RNA (tRNA) molecules are approximately 80 nucleotides in length. Their secondary structure includes four short double-helical elements and three loops (D, anti-codon, and T loops). Further hydrogen bonds mediate the characteristic L-shaped molecular structure. tRNAs have two regions of fundamental functional importance: the anti-codon, which is responsible for specific mRNA codon recognition, and the 3' end, to which the tRNAs corresponding amino acid is attached (by aminoacyl-tRNA synthetases). tRNAs cope with the degeneracy of the genetic code in two manners: having more than one tRNA (with a specific anti-codon) for a particular amino acid; and 'wobble' base-pairing, i.e. permitting non-standard base-pairing at the 3rd anti-codon position. Lineage: Archaea; Nanobdellati; Candidatus Altarchaeota; Candidatus Altarchaeia; Candidatus Altarchaeales. The record is from RNAcentral.
GUAGUGUAGUCCGGCCAAUCAUUCCGGCCUUUCUAGCCGGUGACCCGGGUUCAAAUCCCGGC